This is a long non-coding RNA of Leopardus geoffroyi (Geoffroy's cat), 329 nucleotides long. RefSeq lists it as uncharacterized. Lineage: Eukaryota; Metazoa; Chordata; Mammalia; Carnivora; Felidae. The record is from RefSeq and is a predicted model, not a curated record. The transcript is spliced from 2 exons.
CAGGGGGAAGUUUUAUAUAUAUAUUUAUAUUUAAAGUGGAGACUACACAAUCUCUGAGGAAUUACUGCAGAGCUCCAGGGGGGGCCGAAGGAACAAGGGCUCCUUAGGAUGGCACGCCUAAGCUCCAGUUCUCUUUGAUGUAUUCCUGCUCCUCCAUAGCAAGUUCAAAAGCCAAAGAUGACUGCCAAAGGAAAACAACCAGCACAAGAAAUGUUCAUUGAUUAAUUCCUAGAUCAGAGCCACAUUUUAGAAUAUUCUAUGUUUUUCUAGCGAUGGAUUGGUCUUGUUUCCUUCACAUCAUACUAAAAACUUGCAAGUAUUUUGCCUUC